AACGCACCUUGCGCUCCCUGGUAUUCCGGGGAGCACGCCUGUUUGAGUGUCAUGGUAUUCUCAACCUUCAAAACUUUUUGUAUUGAAGGCUUGGACUUGGAGGCUUGUGCUGGCUCUCGUUAGUCGGCUCCUCUGAAAUGCAUUAGCGUGAAUGUUAUGGAUCGCUUCGGUGUGAUAAUUAUCUGCGCCGUGGUCGUGAAGUAUUUGAAGUUUGCGCUUCUAACCGUCCUUCACUGGACAACUUACCCUUGACAUUUGACCUCAAAUCAGGCGGGACUACCCGCUGAACUUAA
RNAcentral lists this unclassified non-coding RNA (293 nucleotides) under uncultured fungus. Its description in RNAcentral is "partial contains 5.8S ribosomal RNA, internal transcribed spacer 2, and large subunit ribosomal RNA". The stretch from base 1 to 52 matches the Rfam family "5.8S ribosomal RNA", at positions 103 to 154 of the family's 154-position model. Lineage: Eukaryota; Fungi. The record is from RNAcentral.